UUUGACCUCAAAUCAGGUAGGACUACCCGCUGAACUUAAGCAUAUCAAUAAGCGGAGGAAAAGAAACUAACAAGGAUUCCCCUAGUAACUGCGAGUGAAGCGGGAAAAGCUCAAAUUUAAAAUCUGGUAGUCCUUGUGGCUAUCCGAGUUGUAAUCUAGAGAAGUUACCGCCC
RNAcentral lists this ribosomal RNA (173 nucleotides) under uncultured Ampulloclitocybe. RNAcentral's name for it is "partial 28S ribosomal RNA". It matches the Rfam family "Eukaryotic large subunit ribosomal RNA", at positions 1 to 167 of the family's 3401-position model. The record is from RNAcentral. Lineage: Eukaryota; Fungi; Basidiomycota; Agaricomycetes; Agaricales; Tricholomataceae.